AUGAACGCUGGCGGCACGGAUAAGUCAUGCAAGUCGAACGGUGCAAGGUAGCAAUACUUUGCAUAGUGGCGAACGAGUUAGUAACACCUUGGUACGUACUCCGAAGUUGGGCAUAAUCCCGCGAAAGCGGGACUAAUUCCCGAUGGUGCAGUAAUGCUAAAGAAGCAAUUCGCUUCGGAAGCGGCCUAGGUCCUAUCAGCUUGUUGGCGGGGUAAUGGCCCACCAAGGCUAUGACGGGUAGGGGGUGUGAGAGCACGACCCUCAACGAUGGAACUGAGAAACGGUCCAUACACCUACGGGUGGCAGCAGACGAGAAUAUUCGACAAUGGGCGAAAGCCUGAUCGAGCGAUGCCGCGUGCAGGAAGAAGGACUUCGGUCCGUAAACUGCUUUUGCGUGGGAGAAAUUUUGAUAGUACCACGAGAAUAAGGGGUUGCUAACCUCGU
This 444-nucleotide ribosomal RNA is filed under the name uncultured bacterium. RNAcentral's name for it is "bacterial SSU rRNA". It matches the Rfam family "Bacterial small subunit ribosomal RNA", at positions 29 to 506 of the family's 1533-position model. The record is from RNAcentral.